GACGAACGCUGGCGGCGGGCUUAACACAUGCAAGUCGAACGGAAAGGGCCUGCUUUUGUGUGGUUCUCGAGUGGCGAACGGGUGAGUAACCUGUGAGUAACCUUCGCUUUGCGUUGUGAUAACUGCAGGAAACUGGUGCUAAUACCGGAUAGGUGCUGCUGCUGCAUGGUGGGGGUUGGAAAUCUUGGGCGGUUGGGGAUGGACUCGCGGCUUAUCAGCUUGUUGGUGGGGUAGUGGCUUACCAAGGCUUUGACGGGUAGCCGGCCUGAGAGGGUGACCGGCCACAUUGGGACUGAGAUACGGACCAGACUCCUACGGGAGGCAGCAGUGGGGAAUAUUGCACAAUGGGCGGAAGCCUGAUGCAGCAACGCCGCGUGCGGGAUGAAGGCCUUCGGGUUGUAAACCGCUUUCGCCUGUGACGAAGCGUGAGUGACGGUAAUGGGUAAAGAAGCACCGGCUAACUACGUG
Molecule: ribosomal RNA, 468 nt
Filed under: uncultured bacterium
Lineage: Bacteria
Description: partial 16S ribosomal RNA
Rfam family: Bacterial small subunit ribosomal RNA
Source: RNAcentral